UUCAGCAGUCUACACAUGCAGUCGAGCGGAUGAAGAGAGCUUGCUCUCUGAUUCAGCGGCGGACGGGUGAGUAAUGCCUAGGAAUCUGCCUGGUAGUGGGGGACAACGUUUCGAAAGGAACGCUAAUACCGCAUACGUCCUACGGGAGAAAGCAGGGGACCUUCGGGCCUUGCGCUAUCAGAUGAGCCUAGGUCGGAUUAGCUAGUUGGUGAGGUAAUGGCUCACCAAGGCGACGAUCCGUAACUGGUCUGAGAGGAUGAUCAGUCACACUGGAACUGAGACACGGUCCAGACUCCUACGGGAGGCAGCAGUGGGGAAUAUUGGACAAUGGGCGAAAGCCUGAUCCAGCCAUGCCGCGUGUGUGAAGAAGGUCUUCGGAUUGUAAAGCACUUUAAGUUGGGAGGAAGGGUUGUAGAUUAAUACUCUGCAAUUUUGACGUUACCGACAGAAUAAGCACCGGCUAACUCUGUGCCAGCAGCCGCGGUAAUACAGAGGGUGCAAGCGUUAAUCGGAAUUACUGGGCGUAAAGCGCGCGUAGGUGGUUUGUUAAGUUGGAUGUGAAAGCCCCGGGCUCAACCUGGGAACUGCAUUCAAAACUGACAAGCUAGAGUAUGGUAGAGGGUGGUGGAAUUUCCUGUGUAGCGGUGAAAUGCGUAGAUAUAGGAAGGAACACCAGUGGCGAAGGCGACCACCUGGACUGAUACUGACACUGAGGUGCGAAAGCGUGGGGAGCAAACAGGAUUAGAUACCCUGGUAGUCCACGCCGUAAACGAUGUCAACUAGCCGUUGGGGACCUUGAGUCUUUAGUGGCGCAGCUAACGCAUUAAGUUGACCGCUGGGGAGUACGGGCGCAAGGGUUAAAACUCAAAUGAAUUGACGGGGGGCCCGCACAAGCGGUGGAGCAUGUGGGUUUAAA
Molecule: ribosomal RNA, 916 nt
Filed under: Pseudomonas vancouverensis
Lineage: Bacteria; Pseudomonadati; Pseudomonadota; Gammaproteobacteria; Pseudomonadales; Pseudomonadaceae
Description: bacterial SSU rRNA
Rfam family: Bacterial small subunit ribosomal RNA
Source: RNAcentral